CGGACGGGUGAGUAAUGUCUGGGAAACUGCCUGAUGGAGGGGGAUAACUACUGGAAACGGUAGCUAAUACCGCAUAACGUCGCAAGACCAAAGAGGGGGACCUUAGGGCCUCUUGCCAUCGGAUAUGCCCAGAUGGGAUUAGCUAGUAGGUGGGGUAACGGCUCACCUAGGCGACGAUCCCUAGCUGGUCUGAGAGGAUGACCAGCCACACUGGAACUGAGACACGGUUCAG
RNAcentral lists this ribosomal RNA (232 nucleotides) under uncultured bacterium. RNAcentral's name for it is "partial 16S ribosomal RNA". It matches the Rfam family "Bacterial small subunit ribosomal RNA", at positions 99 to 334 of the family's 1533-position model. The record is from RNAcentral.